AGCUCGUGUCGUGAGAUGUGGGUUAAGGUCCCGCAACGAGCGCAACCCUUGCCUUUAGUUUGCCAGCAGUUCGGCUGGGCACUCUAAAGGGACUGCCGGUGUUAAACCGGAGGAAGGUGGGGAUGACGUCAAGUCCUCAUGGCCUUUAUGACCAGGGCUACACACGUACUACAAUGGCCGAUACAAAGGGCAGCGACACUGCGAGGUGAAGCCAAUCCCGUAAAAUCGGUCUCAGUCCGGAUUGGAGUCUGCAACUCGACUCCAUGAAGUUGGAAUCGCUAGUAAUCGUGGAUCAGCAUGCCACGGUGAAUACGUUCCCGGGCCUU
Molecule: ribosomal RNA, 326 nt
Filed under: uncultured Desulfobulbus sp.
Lineage: Bacteria; Pseudomonadati; Thermodesulfobacteriota; Desulfobulbia; Desulfobulbales; Desulfobulbaceae
Description: bacterial SSU rRNA
Rfam family: Bacterial small subunit ribosomal RNA
Source: RNAcentral